GCCUGGGUGGCUCACUCGGUUAAGCGUCUGACUUCGACUCAGGUCAAGAUCUCACGGUUUGUGAGUUUGAGCCCCACAUCAGGCU
Felis catus (domestic cat) is the source of this 85-nucleotide transfer RNA. It matches the Rfam family "tRNA". From Rfam's summary of the family: Transfer RNA (tRNA) molecules are approximately 80 nucleotides in length. Their secondary structure includes four short double-helical elements and three loops (D, anti-codon, and T loops). Further hydrogen bonds mediate the characteristic L-shaped molecular structure. tRNAs have two regions of fundamental functional importance: the anti-codon, which is responsible for specific mRNA codon recognition, and the 3' end, to which the tRNAs corresponding amino acid is attached (by aminoacyl-tRNA synthetases). tRNAs cope with the degeneracy of the genetic code in two manners: having more than one tRNA (with a specific anti-codon) for a particular amino acid; and 'wobble' base-pairing, i.e. permitting non-standard base-pairing at the 3rd anti-codon position. Lineage: Eukaryota; Metazoa; Chordata; Mammalia; Carnivora; Felidae. The record is from Rfam.